GGCACAGUGGCCGAGUGGUCUAAGGCGCUGCGUUCAGGUCGCAGUCUGGUUUUCCAGGCGGGAGUUCAAAUCUCCCCUGUGUCA
Non-coding RNA from Ditylenchus destructor, 84 nucleotides. The record is from the annotation of a GenBank genome assembly. Lineage: Eukaryota; Metazoa; Nematoda; Chromadorea; Rhabditida; Anguinidae.